UGGGUAACCCACCCCGAUGACCGGGACAACCCGAGGAAACUCGGGCUAAUACCGGAUGAGCUCCUCCCCCUUGAGGGAGAGGAGGAAAGAUAGCUUCGGCCUUCGCAUCGGGACGGGCCCGCGGCGCAUUAGCUUGUUGGUGGGUAAUGGCCCACCAAGGCGACGACGGGUAGCCGGCCUGAGAGGGCGACCGGCCACUGGGACUGAGACACGGCCCAGACUCCUACGGGAGGCAG
RNAcentral lists this ribosomal RNA (236 nucleotides) under uncultured bacterium. RNAcentral's name for it is "partial 16S ribosomal RNA". It matches the Rfam family "Bacterial small subunit ribosomal RNA", at positions 118 to 351 of the family's 1533-position model. The record is from RNAcentral.